Molecule: ribosomal RNA, 484 nt
Filed under: uncultured bacterium
Lineage: Bacteria
Description: partial 16S ribosomal RNA
Rfam family: Bacterial small subunit ribosomal RNA
Source: RNAcentral
AUUGAACGCUGGCGGCAUGCCUUACUCAUGCAAGUCGAACGGCAGCACGGGAGCAAUCCUGGUGGCGAGUGGCGAACGGGUGAGUAAUACAUCGGAACGUGCCCAGUAGUGGGGGAUAACCCGGCGAAAGCCGGACUAAUACCGCAUACGACCUACGGGUGAAAGCGGGGGAUCGCAAGACCUCGCGCUAUCGGAGCGGCCGAUGUCAGAUUAGCUAGUUGGUGGGGUAAAGGCCUACCAAGGCGACGAUCUGUAGCUGGUCUGAGAGGACGACCAGCCACACUGGGACUGAGACACGGCCCAGACUCCUACGGGAGGCAGCAGUGGGGAAUUUUGGACAAUGGGCGCAAGCCUGAUCCAGCCAUGCCGCGUGCGGGAAGAAGGCCUUCGGGUUGUAAACCGCUUUUGUCAGGGAAGAAACGCUCCGGGCUAAUACCACGGAGUAAUGACGGUACCUGAAGAAUAAGCACCGGCUAACUACGUG